RNAcentral lists this ribosomal RNA (499 nucleotides) under uncultured bacterium. Its description in RNAcentral is "bacterial SSU rRNA". It matches the Rfam family "Bacterial small subunit ribosomal RNA", at positions 566 to 1070 of the family's 1533-position model. The record is from RNAcentral.
GGUCCGUAGGCGGGCUGAUAAGUCAGAGGUGAAAGCGCUUAGCUCAACUAAGCAACUGCCUUUGAAACUGUUAGUCUUGAAUGAUUGUGAAGUAGUUGGAAUGUGUAGUGUAGCGGUGAAAUGCUUAGAUAUUACACAGAACACCGAUAGCGAAGGCAUAUUACUAACAAUUUAUUGACGCUGAUGGACGAAAGCGUGGGGAGCGAACAGGAUUAGAUACCCUGGUAGUCCACGCUGUAAACGAUGGAUACUAGCUGUUUGGAGCAAUCUGAGUGGCUAAGCGAAAGUGAUAAGUAUCCCACCUGGGGAGUACGCCGGCAACGGUGAAACUCAAAGGAAUUGACGGGGGCCCGCACAAGCGGAGGAACAUGUGGUUUAAUUCGAUGAUACGCGAGGAACCUUACCCGGGAUUGAAAUGUAGAUGACAGGCGGUGAAAGCUGCUCUCCCUUCGGGGCAUCUAUGUAGGUGCUGCAUGGUUGUCGUCAGCUCGUGUCGUGA